CAAUAGCGUAUAUUAAUGUUGUUGCAGUUAAAAAGCUCGUAGUUGGAUUUCUGAUGGGAGCCCUGGUCACUCUAACGAGUGUACUGAUGUGGCGUCUUGUCGUUUCAUGGGGAUGCUUGCUGGUAUUAAGUUAUCGGCUUGUGGAUCCAUGUCGUUUACUGUGAAAAAAUUAGAGUGUUCAAAGCAGGCCAUCGCUGUGAAUACAUUAGCAUGGAAUAAUAAGAUAGGACUGUGGUGCUAUUUUGUUGGUUUGCGUACUACGGUAAUGAUUAAUAGGGAUAGUUGGGGGUAUUCAUAUUCAAUUGUCAGAGGUGAAAUUCUUGGAUUUAUGGAAGAUGAACUACUGCGAAAGCAUUUACCAAGGAUGUUUNCAUUAA
This 377-nucleotide ribosomal RNA is filed under the name uncultured eukaryote. RNAcentral's name for it is "partial 18S ribosomal RNA". It matches the Rfam family "Eukaryotic small subunit ribosomal RNA", at positions 592 to 976 of the family's 1831-position model. The record is from RNAcentral.